Mirounga angustirostris (Northern elephant seal) is the source of this 444-nucleotide long non-coding RNA. RefSeq lists it as uncharacterized. The record is from RefSeq and is a predicted model, not a curated record. Lineage: Eukaryota; Metazoa; Chordata; Mammalia; Carnivora; Phocidae. The transcript is spliced from 3 exons.
CAGGGGAGAUGUCCAUAGAAGGAACUACGAUAAACCAGCCUGGAGGGAAAAACAGUGUAGACGUGAUUGUGGUCAAAGUCAAGGCCUUGAUGAUCACAGAUUUCCACUGAAUGCCCCCAGGGAGCUUACAGUCAAGCAGGAACAAUGGACAUUACACAGACUAACACAUAAAUAUAUGUGAUCGCAAGAUGGUUUAAGUGGAAUUCUGUUAUUUACUACCAAAGGAAUCAGGACUACUGAUCAGUCUAUGCCUGUUCAAGUGUCUGAGCCUUGGAGUAGGUGCUCCCACCAGUAAGGAUGCCGCUACCCCUUUCCAGAUGGAAAUUUUCCCAGUAAGGCCCAAUUAACUUGCUCAGAAUUGGUUACCCACUCUAAGUCCCCGUCCCGCUGCAUAUGCACCUCUGUUUAUUGCAUGAUAUGUGUUGGUCUGUCUAUCCAGCCCCU